This 253-nucleotide ribosomal RNA is filed under the name uncultured bacterium. Its description in RNAcentral is "partial 16S ribosomal RNA". It matches the Rfam family "Bacterial small subunit ribosomal RNA", at positions 524 to 776 of the family's 1533-position model. The record is from RNAcentral.
UACGGAGGAUGCAAGCGUUAUCCGGAAUGAUUGGGCGUAAAGCGUCCGCAGGUGGCGAUGUAAGUCUGCUGUUAAAGAGUGAGGCUCAACCUCAUAAGAGCAGUGGAAACUACAUAGCUAGAGUGCGGUAGGGGCAGAGGGAAUUCCUGGUGUAGCGGUGAAAUGCGUAGAGAUCAGGAAGAACACCGGUGGCGAAAGCGUUCUGCUAGACCUGUACUGACACUGAGGGACGAAAGCUAGGGGAGCGAAUGGG